ACAACCAAGGGAGAAAACUAUUCUGUCAAAGAGACGGUGCCAAAAGGCAGAAACAAAGGAGCUGAUGGCAAAGAAGGUAGCUGUGAUUGGAGCUGGGGUCAGUGGCCUGAUUUCUCUGAAGUGCUGUGUGGAUGAGGGACUUGAGCCCACUUGCUUUGAGAGAACUGAAGAUAUUGGAGGAGUGUGGAGGUUCAAAGUAAGUGAGAUUUUCUUGGGUCUUGAACAGGUUGUGUUGUUAUUUCAGGGUGAAUCACAGUUACUGAUGGGUCAUAUUGAGAAAUUUAUUAAACAACACUGAUCAGAUUUUAUUUCUAUUUAUUGAUGUGGCCAUAAUGGAACUGAAGUCAUAGGCUGGCAUCUCUCCCCCAGUCAACACUAACCCAACCCAGGUAGCUGACCCAGGCAUGUAAAAGAUCUCUUCUUUUGGAUUCAGCAAUGGUCUUACAGCCCAUACUUUUGUCAUUCUUUAAUACGCUAAUAUUAGAGAACGUUUUACAAAAAUAGAAGUAACAGGGAUUCUUCUCAAGAUAUCACUUCUGUUUCAAUUAUUAAACCAAAUGCUUCUUUAGAGACCAUGCUCUUAUCAUUACUAUUUUUCUCUGACAAAUGAAGCAUGUUUGUUUACUGAGCUUUAUCAAUGACAUUCUAGUAUAACUGCUGUGAAACUCUUUGUUAAAUGUUUUAUUAAAUUUAUUCUAUUAAUCAAACCAAAAUA
Molecule: small RNA, 715 nt
Filed under: Pan troglodytes (chimpanzee)
Lineage: Eukaryota; Metazoa; Chordata; Mammalia; Primates; Hominidae
Description: retained intron
Source: RNAcentral